GAUGAACGCUGGCGGCGUGCCUAAUACAUGCAAGUCGAGCGAACAGACGAGGAGCUUGCUCCCCUGACGUUAGCGGCGGACGGGUGAGUAACACGUGGAUAACCUACCUAUAAGACUGGGAUAACUUCGGGAAACCGGAGCUAAUACCGGAUAAUAUAUUGAACCGCAUGGUUCAAUAGUGAAAGACGGUUUUGCUGUCACUUAUAGAUGGAUCCGCGCCGCAUUAGCUAGUUGGUAAGGUAACGGCUUACCAAGGCAACGAUGCGUAGCCGACCUGAGAGGGUGAUCGGCCACACUGGAACUGAGACACGGUCCAGACUCCUACGGGAGGCAGCAGUAGGGAAUCUUCCGCAAUGGGCGAAAGCCUGACGGAGCAGCGCCGCGUGAGUGAUGAAGGUCUUCGGAUCGUAAAACUCUGUUAUUAGGGAAGAACAAAUGUGUAAGUAACUAUGCACGUCUUGACGGUACCUAAUCAGAAAGCCACGGCUAACUACGUG
This 497-nucleotide ribosomal RNA is filed under the name uncultured bacterium. Its description in RNAcentral is "partial 16S ribosomal RNA". It matches the Rfam family "Bacterial small subunit ribosomal RNA", at positions 28 to 507 of the family's 1533-position model. The record is from RNAcentral.